This 497-nucleotide ribosomal RNA is filed under the name uncultured bacterium. Its description in RNAcentral is "partial 16S ribosomal RNA". It matches the Rfam family "Bacterial small subunit ribosomal RNA", at positions 28 to 507 of the family's 1533-position model. The record is from RNAcentral.
GAUGAACGCUGGCGGCGUGCCUAAUACAUGCAAGUCGAGCGAACGGACGAGAAGCUUGCUUUUCUGAUGUUAGCGGCGGACGGGUGAGUAACACGUGGAUAACCUACCUAUAAGACUGGGAUAACUUCGGGAAACCGGAGCUCAUACCGGAUAAUAUUUUGAACCGCAUGGUUCAAAAGUGAAAGACCGUCUUGCUGUCACUUAUAGAUGGAUCCGAGCUGCAUUAGCUAGUUGGUAAGGUAACGGCUUACCAAGGCAACGAUGCAUAGCCGACCUGAGAGGGUGAUCAGCCACACUGGAACUGAGACACGGUCCAGACUCCUACGGGAGGCAGCAGUAGGGAAUCUUCCGCAAUGGGCGAAAGCCUGACGGAGCAACGCCGCGUGAGUGAUGAAGGUCUUCGGAUCGUAAAACUCUGUUAUUAGGGAAGAACAUAUGUGUAAGUAACUGUGCACAUCUUGACGGUACCUAAUCAGAAAGCCACGGCUAACUACGUG